GAUCAUGGCUCAGAAUGAACGUUGGCGGCGUGGAUUAGGCAUGCAAGUCGAGCGCGAACCGUAGCAAUACGGGGAGAGCGGCGAAAGGGAGAGGAAUACGUGGAUACCUACCCUCAGGUUCAGGAUAGCUAUGGGAAACUAUAGGUAAUACUGAAUAAUAUCUCCGGAUCAAAGGUGUGAUUCCACCUGAGGAGGGGUCCGCGUCCUAUUAGCUAGUUGGUGAGGUGACGGCUCACCAAGGCGAAGAUGGGUACGGGAUGUGAGAGCAUGAUCCCGCUCACUGGGACUGAGACACUGCCCAGACACCUACGGGUGGCUGCAGUCGAGAAUCUUCGGCAAUGGGGGAAACCCUGACCGAGCGACGCCGCGUGCGAGAUGAAGGCCUUCGGGUUGUAAAUCGCUGUCAGUGGGGAGGAAAUGCCAGUGGGUUAUCCCAUUGGUUUGACCUAUCCGCAGAGGAAGGACGGGCUAAGUUCGUG
RNAcentral lists this ribosomal RNA (479 nucleotides) under uncultured bacterium. RNAcentral's name for it is "bacterial SSU rRNA". It matches the Rfam family "Bacterial small subunit ribosomal RNA", at positions 15 to 507 of the family's 1533-position model. The record is from RNAcentral.